GACGAACGUUGGCGGUGCGCUUUAUGCAUGCAAGUCGAGGGAGAAGCAGUCGUUCCGUAAGGUUCAGCUGUGGAAACCGGCGAACGGGUGAGUAUCACGUGAGGAACCUGCCCCCUAGAUCGGGAUAGCCCGAGGAAACUCGGAUUAAUACCGAAUAUUCUCAUUGGACCGCAUGGUCCUUUGAGGAAAUGGUCCGCCGCUAGGGGAUGGUCUCGCGGCCUAUCAGGUAGUUGGUGGGGUAAUGGCCCACCAAGCCGAAGACGGGUAGCUGGUCUGAGAGGACGAUCAGCCACACUGGAACUGAGAUACGGUCCAGACUCCUACGGGAGGCAGCAGCAGGGAAUAUUGCACAAUGGGCGAAAGCCUGAUGCAGCGACACCGCGUGCGGGAUGACGGCCUUCGGGUUGUAAACCGCUUUCAGGAGGGAAGAAAAUGACGGUACCUCCAGAAGAAGCUCCGGCCAACUACG
Molecule: ribosomal RNA, 469 nt
Filed under: uncultured Acidimicrobiales bacterium
Lineage: Bacteria; Bacillati; Actinomycetota; Acidimicrobiia; Acidimicrobiales
Description: bacterial SSU rRNA
Rfam family: Bacterial small subunit ribosomal RNA
Source: RNAcentral